GACGAACGCUGGCGGCGUGCCUAAUACAUGCAAGUCGAGCGGACGAAUCGAAAGCUUGCUUUUGUUUCGUUAGCGGCGGACGGGUGAGUAACACGUGGGCAACCUGCCCUGUAGACGGGGAUAACACCGAGAAAUCGGUGCUAAUACCGGAUAACACGAAAUGUCGCAUGACGUUUCGUUGAAAGACGGCGCAAGCUGCCGCUACAGGAUGGGCCCGCGGCGCAUUAGCUAGUUGGUGAGGUAACGGCUCACCAAGGCGACGAUACGUAGCCGACCUGAGAGGGUGAUCGGCCACACUGGAACUGAGACACGGCCCAGACUCCUACGGGAGGCAGCAGUAGGGAAUCUUCCGCAAUGGACGAAAGUCUGACGGAGCAACGCCGCGUGAGCGAAGAAGGCCUUCGGGUCGUAAAGCUCUGUUGUUAGGGAAGAACAAGUAACGCAGUAACUGGCGUUACCGUGACGGUACCUAACGAGAAAGCCACGGCUAACUACGUG
RNAcentral lists this ribosomal RNA (498 nucleotides) under uncultured bacterium. RNAcentral describes it as "partial 16S ribosomal RNA". It matches the Rfam family "Bacterial small subunit ribosomal RNA", at positions 28 to 507 of the family's 1533-position model. The record is from RNAcentral.